RNAcentral lists this ribosomal RNA (425 nucleotides) under uncultured bacterium. RNAcentral describes it as "bacterial SSU rRNA". It matches the Rfam family "Bacterial small subunit ribosomal RNA", at positions 354 to 796 of the family's 1533-position model. The record is from RNAcentral.
GUGGGGAAUAUUGGACAAUGGGCGCAAGCCUGAUCCAGCAAUGCCGCGUGGGUGAAGAAGGUCUUCGGAUUGUAAAGCCCUUUCGACGGGGACGAUGAUGACGGUACCCGUAGAAGAAGCCCCGGCUAACUUCGUGCCAGCAGCCGCGGUAAUACGAAGGGGGCUAGCGUUGCUCGGAAUGACUGGGCGUAAAGGGCGCGUAGGCGGAUGACACAGUCAGGCGUGAAAUUCCUGGGCUCAACCUGGGGGCUGCGUUUGAUACAUGUUGUCUGGAGUUCGGAAGAGGGUCGUGGAAUUCCCAGUGUAGAGGUGAAAUUCGUAGAUAUUGGGAAGAACACCGGUGGCGAAGGCGGCGACCUGGUCCGAUACUGACGCUGAGGCGCGAAAGCGUGGGGAGCAAACAGGAUUAGAAACCCCUGUAGUCC